RNAcentral lists this transfer RNA (76 nucleotides) under Geothrix sp. RNAcentral's name for it is "tRNA-Trp". It matches the Rfam family "tRNA". Rfam says of the family: Transfer RNA (tRNA) molecules are approximately 80 nucleotides in length. Lineage: Bacteria; Pseudomonadati; Acidobacteriota; Holophagae; Holophagales; Holophagaceae. The record is from RNAcentral.
AGGGGAGUAGCUCAGCUGGUAGAGCAGCGGACUCCAAAUCCGCAGGCCGCGGGUUCGAAACCUGUCUCCCCUGCCA